UGCGCAGGCGGAAUGAUAAGUCAGUGGUGAAAGCCUACAGCUUAACUGUAGAAUUGCCAUUGAUACUGUCGUUCUUGAGUACAGUUGAAGUGGGCGGAAUGUGUCAUGUAGCGGUGAAAUGCAUAGAUAUGACACAGAACACCGAUAGCGAAGGCAGCUCACUAAGCUGAAACUGACGCUCAUGCACGAAAGCGUGGGGAGCAAACAGGAUUAGAUACCCUGGUAGUC
This 228-nucleotide ribosomal RNA is filed under the name uncultured bacterium. Its description in RNAcentral is "partial 16S ribosomal RNA". It matches the Rfam family "Bacterial small subunit ribosomal RNA", at positions 568 to 795 of the family's 1533-position model. The record is from RNAcentral.